Molecule: ribosomal RNA, 253 nt
Filed under: uncultured bacterium
Lineage: Bacteria
Description: partial 16S ribosomal RNA
Rfam family: Bacterial small subunit ribosomal RNA
Source: RNAcentral
UACGAAGGGUGCAAGCGUUACUCGGAAUUACUGGGCGUAAAGCGUGCGUAGGUGGUUCGUUAAGUCUGAUGUGAAAGCCCUGGGCUCAACCUGGGAAUGGCAUUGGAUACUGGCGACCUAGAGUGCGGUAGAGGGGUGUGGAAUUCCCGGUGUAGCAGUGAAAUGCGUAGAUAUCGGGAGGAACAUCGGUGGCGAAGGCGACACCCUGGACCAGCACUGACACUGAGGCACGAAAGCGUGGGGAGCAAACAGG